AAAAAUAAAAAGUUGCUGAAACUGAUUAAAAAAUGUGCAAUCAGCAAAAUCCUCGUUGACCCAGAUCACAUGAUGCUUCUCAUCUCUCUAUAAAAUACCCAAGAUUGGUGAGAGUUGUCAUUCACCUUCACCAUGAAGGGAAUCGUCCUAUUUCUUGUAGUGGCCAUUGUGGGUAAGUAUGGCUUUCUUUUUACUAUGACUCCAUUGUAAAAUUUUGCAUAAUUUUAGUCAAAAUAUAUUUUAAAAUUUAAAGAAAACUCCAUCCUACUAUGUUCAUAUUGUAAUCUCUUGAAUUUCUUUCCUCAGCUGCCGAGAAAUUCCCAGCCCGGAACCAGAAAUCCCAGACAAAAACCCAGAAUGCUGAAACGGGAACCGAGAAUGUUGACAUCAAACCAGAAUUUCCUGCCGGACAAAUAUUGAUAUACAAUUACACCACCGUGCUUCAAACUGGAGUUCAAAACAAAGAUUAUGGAAAGAGUCUUCUAAGGAUGGAAACUGAUGCAAUAAUCACAACAAGUCAAACAGAGCAUGUGCUUCAAGUAAGUUUUCUCCCUAAGGAUAAAAUUCCUUUCAGUAAUUCUCAAGCCCAUUCAAUUGAUGGGAAACUAUACUGUACAAUCAUUCAAGAAAUAGUCACAUAUAUGGACCACAGAUUGAUGGUGGGGGGGACCCUUUCUGUACAAUAGGCCAAGGGAAAAAUGAUCAUUUUAAGCUUCAAUACUUUAUUUGCCUGCAGUUAAAAAAAGUUAAGCAAUCCUAAACUAUUCAUUCAUAAGUGCAUUAUACUCCUGACAAGAACAAC
Molecule: long non-coding RNA, 802 nt
Filed under: Notechis scutatus (mainland tiger snake)
Lineage: Eukaryota; Metazoa; Chordata; Lepidosauria; Squamata; Elapidae
Description: lncRNA (ENSNSUG00000011462.1)
Source: RNAcentral